Molecule: ribosomal RNA, 300 nt
Filed under: uncultured bacterium
Lineage: Bacteria
Description: bacterial SSU rRNA
Rfam family: Bacterial small subunit ribosomal RNA
Source: RNAcentral
CGUAGAUUAGGGCCAGGAGCGGGGGUAAUACGAAGGUGGCAAGCGUUGUGCGGAUGUACUGGGGGUACAGGGAGCGUAGGCGGGUGGAUAAGCCCUCCGUGAAAUCUCGAGGCUUAACCUGGAAAGGGCAGAGGGGACUGUUCAGCUAGAGGAUGGGAGAGGAGCGCGGAAUUCCCGGUGUAGCGGUGAAAUGCGUAGAGAUCGGGAGGAAGGCCGGUGGCGAAGGCGGCGCUCUGGAACAUUUCUGACGCUGAGGCUCGAAAGCGUGGGGAGCAAACAGGAUUAGAUACCCGUGUAGUC